This 69-nucleotide transfer RNA is filed under the name Siren intermedia (lesser siren). Its description in RNAcentral is "tRNA-His". It matches the Rfam family "tRNA". From Rfam's summary of the family: Transfer RNA (tRNA) molecules are approximately 80 nucleotides in length. Their secondary structure includes four short double-helical elements and three loops (D, anti-codon, and T loops). Lineage: Eukaryota; Metazoa; Chordata; Amphibia; Caudata; Sirenidae. The record is from RNAcentral.
GUUUGUAUAAUUUAAAAAAAAUACUAGAUUGUGAUUCUAUAAAUAGGAGUUAAAGCCUCUUUACAAACC